This 253-nucleotide ribosomal RNA is filed under the name uncultured bacterium. RNAcentral's name for it is "partial 16S ribosomal RNA". It matches the Rfam family "Bacterial small subunit ribosomal RNA", at positions 524 to 776 of the family's 1533-position model. The record is from RNAcentral.
UACGGGGAGGGUAAGCGUUGUUCGGAAUUACUGGGCGUAAAGGGCUCGUAGGCGGCCAACUAAGUCAGACGUGAAAUCCCUCAGCUUAACUGGGGAACUGCGUCUGAUACUGGAUGGCUUGGAUCCGGGAGAGGGAUGCGGAAUUCCAGGUGUAGCGGUGAAAUGCGUAGAUAUCUGGAGGAACACCGGUGGCGAAGGCGGCAUCCUGGACCGGUAUUGACGCUGAGGAGCGAAAGCCAGGGGAGCAAACGGG